RNAcentral lists this ribosomal RNA (254 nucleotides) under uncultured bacterium. Its description in RNAcentral is "partial 16S ribosomal RNA". It matches the Rfam family "Bacterial small subunit ribosomal RNA", at positions 524 to 776 of the family's 1533-position model. The record is from RNAcentral.
UACGUAGGGUCCGAGCGUUGUCCGGAUUUAUUGGGCGUAAAGAGCUCGUAGGCGGCUUGGCAAGUCGGGUGUGAAACCUCCAGGCUCAACCUGGAGACGCCACUCGAUACUGCCAUGGCUAGAGUCCGGUAGGGGACCACGGAAUUCCUGGUGUAGCGGUGAAAUGCGCAGAUAUCAGGAGGAACACCGGUGGCGAAGGCGGUGGUCUGGGCCGGCACUGACGCUGAGGAGCGAAAGCGUGGGUAGCAAACAGG